CAAUUGUCGAGAAUUUCUCCCGUAUUGAGAAGAAUUGCUCCUGGUAAAUGGCCAACGCGUGACCAACGCUCUCCACUUGGACUCUGAAUUUCAAGACCGCCCUCGCUAUCCUGUAAAUUAUAUAAAUUCAUGUAAUACGAUGCGUGGAUGGAGAGACACCUACGCAAAAAGCGUUUUCCCCAUUUGAAAAAGAAGAGAUCAUAAAUCUUUUGUCGACAUUUUUACAUUAUGAAAACCAGUUGCUUACCUGGGAAAGGAAAAACAAAAGAUGAGGAAAUUGGAAGAAAUUUGAUGAAAUCGGAUGAAUUUUUGUAGAGGAAUAGAUAAAAAUUGAGGAGAAUGGGAUUGAAAAAUUUAAAGGAAUAUAUACAAUGCGACUUUUAAGUAUUCAAG
Leptopilina heterotoma is the source of this 393-nucleotide long non-coding RNA. RefSeq lists it as uncharacterized. NCBI's taxonomy places the organism in Eukaryota, Metazoa, Arthropoda, Insecta, Hymenoptera, Figitidae. The transcript is spliced from 3 exons. The record is from RefSeq and is a predicted model, not a curated record.